Molecule: ribosomal RNA, 95 nt
Filed under: Sinomonas sp. ASV486
Lineage: Bacteria; Bacillati; Actinomycetota; Actinomycetes; Micrococcales; Micrococcaceae
Description: partial 16S ribosomal RNA
Rfam family: Bacterial small subunit ribosomal RNA
Source: RNAcentral
UUGACGGAGAGUUUGAUCCUGGCUCAGGAUGAACGCUGGCGGCGUGCUUAACACAUGCAAGUCGAACGAUGAUGCCCAGCUUGCUGGGCUGAUUA